GACGAACGCUGGCGGCGUGCUUAACACAUGCAAGUCGAACGGAAAGGCCCUGCUUUUGUGGGGUGCUCGAGUGGCGAACGGGUGAGCAACACGUGAGUAACCUGCCCUUGACUUUGGGAUAACUUCAGGAAACUGGGGCUAAUACCGGAUAGGAGCUCCUGCUGCAUGGUGGGGGUUGGAAAGUUUCGGCGGUUGGGGAUGGACUCGCGGCUUAUCAGCUUGUUGGUGGGGUAGUGGCUUACCAAGGCUUUGACGGGUAGCCGGCCUGAGAGGGUGACCGGCCACAUUGGGACUGAGAUACGGCCCAGACUCCUACGGGAGGCAGCAGUGGGGAAUAUUGCACAAUGGGCGGAAGCCUGACGCAGCAACGCCGCGGGCGGGAUGACGGCCUUCGGGGUGUAAACCGCUUUCGCCUGUGACGAAGCGUGAGUGACGGUAAUGGGUAAAGAAGCACCGGCUAACUACGUG
RNAcentral lists this ribosomal RNA (468 nucleotides) under uncultured bacterium. RNAcentral's name for it is "partial 16S ribosomal RNA". It matches the Rfam family "Bacterial small subunit ribosomal RNA", at positions 28 to 507 of the family's 1533-position model. The record is from RNAcentral.